UACGGGGGGGGCAAGCGUUGUUCGGAAUUACUGGGCGUAAAGGGCGCGUAGGCGGCCACCGCAAGUCGACUGUGAAAUCUCCGGGCUUAACCCGGAAAGGUCAGCCGAUACUGCGGGGCUAGAGUGCAGAAGGGGCAACUGGAAUUCUCGGUGUAGCGGUGAAAUGCGUAGAUAUCGAGAGGAACACCUGCGGCGAAGGCGGGUUGCUGGGCUGACACGUGACGCUGAGGCGCGAAAGCGUGGGGAGCGAACAGG
This 255-nucleotide ribosomal RNA is filed under the name uncultured bacterium. Its description in RNAcentral is "partial 16S ribosomal RNA". It matches the Rfam family "Bacterial small subunit ribosomal RNA", at positions 524 to 776 of the family's 1533-position model. The record is from RNAcentral.